This 251-nucleotide ribosomal RNA is filed under the name uncultured bacterium. Its description in RNAcentral is "partial 16S ribosomal RNA". It matches the Rfam family "Bacterial small subunit ribosomal RNA", at positions 85 to 339 of the family's 1533-position model. The record is from RNAcentral.
UUGAUGGCGAGUGGCGGACGGGUGAGUAACGCGUAGGAAUAUGCCUUGAAGAGGGGGAUAACUUGGGGAAACCCAAGCUAAUACCGCAUAUGCUCUGAGGAGCGAAGCUGGGGACCUUCGGGCCUGGCGCUUUGAGAAUAGCCUGCGUCCGAUUAGCUAGUUGGUAGGGUAAAGGCCUACCAAGGCGACGAUCGGUAGCUGGUCUGAGAGGAUGAACAGCCACACUGGGACUGAGACACGGCCCAGACUCC